This 440-nucleotide ribosomal RNA is filed under the name uncultured bacterium. Its description in RNAcentral is "partial 16S ribosomal RNA". It matches the Rfam family "Bacterial small subunit ribosomal RNA", at positions 338 to 795 of the family's 1533-position model. The record is from RNAcentral.
CCUACGGGAGGCAGCAGUGGGGGAUAUUGCACAAUGGGGGGAACCCUGAUGCAGCGACGCCGCGUGUGGGAAGACGGUCCUCUGGAUUGUAAACCACUUUCCCCAGGGACGAAAAUGACGGUACCUGGGGAGGAAGCUCCGGCAAACUACGUGCCAGCAGCCGCGGUAAUACGGAGGGAGCGAGCGAUGUCCGGAAUUACUGGGUGUAACGGGAGCGUAGGCGGGGAUGCAAGUUGGGUGUAAAAACUACCGGCUCAACUGGGAGUCGCACUCGAAACUGCAGCUCUUGAGUGAAGUAGAGGCAGGCGGAAUUCCUGGUGUAGCGGUGAAAUGCGUAGAUAUUAGGAAGAACACCAGUUGCGAAGGCGGCCUGCUGGGCUUUUACUGACGCUGAGGCUCGAAAGUGUGGGGAGCAAACAGGAUUAGAUACCCUGGUAGUC